UUUAUGGAGAGUUUGAUCCUGGCUCAGGAUGAACGCUGGCGGCGUGCCUAAUACAUGCAAGUCGAGCGAACAGACGAGGAGCUUGCUCCUCUGACGUUAGCGGCGGACGGGUGAGUAACACGUGGAUAACCUACCUAUAAGACUGGGAUAACUUCGGGAAACCGGAGCUAAUACCGGAUAAUAUAUUGAACCGCAUGGUUCAAUAGUGAAAGGCGGCUUUGCUGUCACUUAUAGAUGGAUCCGCGCCGUAUUAGCUAGUUGGUAAGGUAACGGCUUACCAAGGCAACGAUGCGUAGCCGACCUGAGAGGGUGAUCGGCCACACUGGAACUGAGACACGGUCCAGACUCCUACGGGAGGCAGCAGUAGGGAAUCUUCCGCAAUGGGCGAAAGCCUGACGGAGCAACGCCGCGUGAGUGAUGAAGGUCUUCGGAUCGUAAAACUCUGUUAUUAGGGAAGAACAAAUGUGUAAGUAACUAUGCACGUCUUGACGGUACCU
This 497-nucleotide ribosomal RNA is filed under the name Staphylococcus epidermidis. RNAcentral describes it as "bacterial SSU rRNA". It matches the Rfam family "Bacterial small subunit ribosomal RNA", at positions 1 to 480 of the family's 1533-position model. The record is from RNAcentral. Lineage: Bacteria; Bacillati; Bacillota; Bacilli; Caryophanales; Staphylococcaceae.